AGCAUAAUAAGUGGUAUUUGCAUUGAAAAACAGCAUCUAAUUAUUCAUUGGACAGCUGGCUAUCAAUCACUGGUUGGUCUGCCUUCUUUAUAUGAUGAUAGGGUGAGCUUGCAAAUGGGUGGAGCUUUGUUACUAUUCAGUGCUCAGAGAGAGACAAACAGGCUUCAGCAUGGUGACGGGAGCGCACAGACGCUCUCUAAUCAAGAAGCAAUGACAAACAGCCAGAUGGAUAAAGCUACAGAUUCAUGGAAUGACUGAACACUGUGGGCUUGUGAGCAGAUGGGCCGUGGGCAGAUUGAUGGCCUAGCCGGGGUGGAACACCUGUUUGGCAGAGGAGCUCACGGCACAGUGCAUGCUGAAUGUGACCGCCACAAGAUGAAGGCGGCGGUGCCAGAGACAAGCACAUAUGUGCUCUAGAAUGGUUUCGUGGACCUUGAGCACAGGAAUGACACAGUGCAUAACCUUGGUCAAACAGGUUUUGAACCUGUCUCAGGUAACUCGGUAGGUGGAGAGAAUCAGUUAUAGAGCCAUAAAUGUCCAUGUCACUGAGGCCUGUUUGAGACUAGUCACUAGGAG
This is a long non-coding RNA of Cyprinus carpio carpio, 576 nucleotides long. The record is from Ensembl. NCBI's taxonomy places the organism in Eukaryota, Metazoa, Chordata, Actinopteri, Cypriniformes, Cyprinidae.